AUGUGCCUGCUCUCAACAGCCUUCCACAAGUUCGGAAGGUGCGACGGCAGGCAUCGGGCUGUGUGAACCAGCCGACCGUGACCCACGACACCGCUACAGGUCAUCAAGCCGAUGGUGUCGUGGGUGUGUCAGACUAAUCCACGGGAAGCCACGGGCCACCGCGCCCGUGGCAGUUCACUUUG
Molecule: non-coding RNA, 182 nt
Filed under: Natronomonas pharaonis DSM 2160
Lineage: Archaea; Methanobacteriati; Methanobacteriota; Halobacteria; Halobacteriales; Natronomonadaceae
Description: Sense overlapping transcript RNA 2652 (sot)
Rfam family: Sense overlapping transcript RNA 2652 (sot)
About the family: It is associated with IS1341-type transposase (tnpB) genes, at the 3'-end in H. salinarum NRC-1.
Source: Rfam by way of RNAcentral